UCCACGCCGUAAACGUUGGGCACUGGGUGUGGGAGGUAUUGACCCCUUCCGUGCCGUAGUUAACGCGAUAAGUGCCCCGCCUGGGGAGUACGGCCGCAAGGCUAAAACUCAAAGGAAUUGACGGGGGCCCGCACAAGCAGCGGAGCGUGUGGUUUAAUUCGAUGCUACGCGAAAAACCUUACCAGGGUUUGACAUGUACGUGGUACCAAACCGAAAGGGGCGGGACCCUUCGG
This 233-nucleotide ribosomal RNA is filed under the name uncultured bacterium. RNAcentral's name for it is "partial 16S ribosomal RNA". It matches the Rfam family "Bacterial small subunit ribosomal RNA", at positions 794 to 1023 of the family's 1533-position model. The record is from RNAcentral.